GCUUGGUUGGGAGUUGGUAAAGCGUCUGCCUUGCAAGCGGUAGGCCGCGGGUUCGAUUCCCGCUCGGAGCG
RNAcentral lists this transfer RNA (71 nucleotides) under Diaphorina citri (Asian citrus psyllid). It matches the Rfam family "tRNA". From Rfam's summary of the family: Transfer RNA (tRNA) molecules are approximately 80 nucleotides in length. Their secondary structure includes four short double-helical elements and three loops (D, anti-codon, and T loops). Lineage: Eukaryota; Metazoa; Arthropoda; Insecta; Hemiptera; Psyllidae. The record is from Rfam by way of RNAcentral.